AUGAAUUUUACCCUUUAAUAAUGACAUAUCUUACUCGAUAUGUCACAUCAGUGGCGGAUAAGUGGAAAAAGAAGAGAAAGGAAAAUAAAUAAGGAAAAAUAAUUUUGGAAAAACUUUUUCAUCAUUUGGAUAAGAGAAAGGAAAAUGAAGGAGGAAAGAAAAAUAAAUUUUAUUUUUCUCUAAUUAUUUUUUCUCUAAAUUAGAGAGAAAAUAAAAAAUCAAAGAAAAUAAAAAGAUUUUAG
This 242-nucleotide unclassified non-coding RNA is filed under the name Hevea brasiliensis (rubber tree). Lineage: Eukaryota; Viridiplantae; Streptophyta; Magnoliopsida; Malpighiales; Euphorbiaceae. The record is from RNAcentral.